Molecule: ribosomal RNA, 458 nt
Filed under: uncultured organism
Description: bacterial SSU rRNA
Rfam family: Bacterial small subunit ribosomal RNA
Source: RNAcentral
GUGCACCAGUCGCGAAUUUUUCUCAAUGGGGGCAACCCUGAAGGAGCGACGCCGCGUGGAGGAUGAAGGUCUUCGGGUUUGUAAACUCCUGUCAUUUGAGAACAAGGUGCACAUGUUAACUGCAUGUGCAUUGAUAGUAUCAGAAGAGGAAGGGACGGCUAAACUCUGUGCCAGCAGCCGCGGUAAUACAGAGGUCCCAAGCGUUGUUCGGAUUCAUUGGGCGUAAAGGGUGUGUAGGUGGCGCCGUUAAGUCGGGUGUGAAAUCUCGGGGCUUAACUCCGAAACUGCAUUCGAUACUGCGGUGCUUGAGGACUGGAGAGGAGACUGGAAUUCAUGGUGUAGCAGUGAAAUGCGUAGAGAUCAUGAGGAAGACCAGUGGCGAAGGCGGGUCUCUGGACAGUUCCUGACACUGAGACACGAAGGCCAGGGGAGCAAACGGGAUUAGAUACCCCUGUACG